GUACACAAAAAUGCACAUGCUGUGAGCUCGAUGAGUAGGGCGGGACACGUGGUAUCCUGUCUGAAUAUGGGGGGACCAUCCUCCAAGGCUAAAUACUCCUGACUGACCGAUAGUGAACCAGUACCGUGAGGGAAAGGCGAAAAGAACCCCGGCGAGGGGAGUGAAAAAGAACCUGAAACCGUGUACGUACAAGCAGUGGGAGCACGCUUAGGCGUGUGACUGCGUACCUUUUGUAUAAUGGGUCAGCGACUUAUAUUCUGUAGCAAGGUUAACCGAAUAGGGGAGCCGAAGGGAAACCGAGUCUUAACUGGGCGUUAAGUUGCAGGGUAUAGACCCGAAACCCGGUGAUCUAGCCAUGGGCAGGUUGAAGGUUGGGUAACACUAACUGGAGGACCGAACCGACUAAUGUUGAAAAAUUAGCGGAUGACUUGUGGCUGGGGGUGAAAGGCCAAUCAAACCGGGAGAUAGCUGGUUCUCCCCGAAAGCUAUUUAGGUAGCGCCUCGUGAAUUCAUCUCCGGGGGUAGAGCACUGUUUCGGCAAGGGGGUCAUCCCGACUUACCAACCCGAUGCAAACUGCGAAUACCGGAGAAUGUUAUCACGGGAGACACACGGCGGGUGCUAACGUCCGUCGUGAAGAGGGAAACAACCCAGACCGCCAGCUAAGGUCCCAAAGUCAUGGUUAAGUGGGAAACGAUGUGGGAAGGCCCAGACAGCCAGGAUGUUGGCUUAGAAGCAGCCAUCAUUUAAAGAAAGCGUAAUAGCUCACUGGUCGAGUCGGCCUGCGCGGAAGAUGUAACGGGGCUAAACCAUGCAC
RNAcentral lists this ribosomal RNA (815 nucleotides) under Escherichia coli. Its description in RNAcentral is "partial 23S ribosomal RNA". It matches the Rfam family "Bacterial large subunit ribosomal RNA", at positions 375 to 1194 of the family's 2925-position model. Lineage: Bacteria; Pseudomonadati; Pseudomonadota; Gammaproteobacteria; Enterobacterales; Enterobacteriaceae. The record is from RNAcentral.